RNAcentral lists this ribosomal RNA (600 nucleotides) under uncultured bacterium. RNAcentral describes it as "bacterial SSU rRNA". It matches the Rfam family "Bacterial small subunit ribosomal RNA", at positions 735 to 1339 of the family's 1533-position model. The record is from RNAcentral.
UGCCACUGACGCUGAGGCACGAAGGUGCGGGUAUCAAACAGGAUUAGAUACCCUGGUAGUCCGCACAGUAAACUAUGGAUGCUCGCGGUGCGCAAAUUGUUGUACGCCGCCAAGGGAAACCGUUAAGCAUCCCACCUGGGGAGUACGCCGGCAACGGUGAAACUCAAAGGAAUUGACGGGGGCCCGCACAAGCGGAGGAACAUGUGGUUUAAUUCGAUGAUACGCGAGGAACCUUACCCGGGCUUGAACUGCAGGCGAACGAUACAGAGAUGUUGAGGCCCUUCGGGGCGCCUGUGGAGGUGCUGCAUGGUUGUCGUCAGCUCGUGCCGUGAGGUGUCGGCUUAAGUGCCAUAACGAGCGCAACCCUUUUCAUUAGUUGCCAUCAGGUAAUGCUGGGCACUCUGGUGAUACUGCCACCGUAAGGUGUGAGGAAGGUGGGGAUGACGUCAAAUCAGCACGGCCCUUACGUCCGGGGCUACACACGUGUUACAAUGGGUGGUACAGAGAGUCAACCGCCGGCAACGUCGGUUUAAUCAAUAAAGCCAUCCUCAGUUCGGAUUGGGGUCUGCAACCCGACCCCAUGAAGCUGGAUUCGCUAGU